CACACCUAAGGAGAAAAACAUAAAUAAAUAGUUAUAAAACAGUUCCAGACACAUAUUAUUAAAAUGACUCCACCAUAAAUGUGCUUAACAGAUGAACUUCACUUACAGUAAGUCUGGCUCUGACACAAGGCAGUGGUGAAGUAACAAAACAAAUCUUUUUAUCAGUAGCUGUGUUUUGGGUAUUGCCUUAAAUACCAAUGUGCUAAUGGCGGGCAAACAUCAAACUAUUCUCAUACCUAGGGAGGGGUGUUCUGGACAACUAGCGAUUAGUUACACAUGCUGUUCAUUAACAACCAGCCACGCAGCAAGUGCUCAGAUUUGCUUCUAUUUGUUACUGUAUGAAGACUCCCGUUAAUGCUAAGGCAUUUACAUUCCUCAGUGAGAGGUACUACUGCUGCUAACAGCACUGAACCAUGUACCUAAGCAGAUACACACAUGAAUAUUGUUCCGCUACUGACCUUGUCCACAACUAACUUGUGUGCUGUUUCCAAGUGUCUUUGACCACAGAAAUACACAGAAGGAUGUCUAAUGAGAAAAGAUUCAUGAACACCUUUACAAAACAUUGUUUGGAGAGGCUUCCACUGUAUACUGAAGCAGUGGGCAGACCAGGGUAAUGUAGCUAACAGAAAAAUCUCUAUUCUAACAGAUGCCGUCAGAAUGAAGACAUUUUGUUCUAACUCAACUUGUUUUGAUGGACACAUGCAACAUAUAAGAGCAUGCUGGGUAAAGAGAUGGAAAAAAAGUCUCUGGACAGCUGCUGGUAUCACUGUAACAGAAGAACUCUCUAAAAUGUGGAAACCAGUCUCAGGUUCUUCUCUAUUUGAAUUCCGGUUUUAUGGUUUCUACAGCCCUCCCUGACUGAUAGCUAUCCUCCAAAAUGUAGUGAUUAACCUUAUCUUUGUCACUCUGACUCCAUCAUAUUAUUCAUCUCAGAUGACAAAGUCAUGCAAGACUCACAGUGCAAUUUUGACAGCUGGAACAUCUUCCACAUGUGCUUGGGCCUUGCUCCACAUUCCCACUACCAUCCAGACUGCAACCAUGCCAUCACCUCACCCUUACGCACACUGUACAGAAGAAAUGCUGUCCAUAAAGUGAAACCCCUGCCCUGAUUCCACAACAAACAAACAAAUUUGAGUUAGAUCGGGUUGCAGUGAGAGGUAUAUUGCAAGAACACAGAAAAUAUCUGACCUCCUAUAAUGUCCUAGGGAAAAAAAAUCCUUGUCAAAAAAUGUCUGAACUGCCAAGCAAGUUUAUAGUAGAUUUGCUCUUGCACAUGGAAGAAGCAUUUCUGAUCUGCUGUCACAAGCACUGAAGACAGAUCUAGUGUAUCAUCUCACAGGUGUCCUAAGGAUCUGAGAAGGCAAUGCUGCCUGCAUUCAGAAGAAUUGUACUUACCUCUUCAAUUCAGCAAUGAGCAAAGCUGUGCAGGGAACACCCAGAGUCAUUAGCGAGAUGUUGUUAAUGGCAGGCUUAAUGAAGGCCAGGCAGGUGG
Molecule: long non-coding RNA, 1492 nt
Organism: Corvus hawaiiensis (hawaiian crow)
Lineage: Eukaryota; Metazoa; Chordata; Aves; Passeriformes; Corvidae
Exons: 2
Source: RefSeq, a predicted model, not a curated record